Juglans regia (Persian walnut) is the source of this 1175-nucleotide long non-coding RNA. RefSeq lists it as uncharacterized. The record is from RefSeq and is a predicted model, not a curated record. The transcript has 2 exons. Lineage: Eukaryota; Viridiplantae; Streptophyta; Magnoliopsida; Fagales; Juglandaceae.
UUUCUCACUUCGUGCACUCCGUCGUCCCCCCCGCGUCCAUCUCUCUCUCUCUCUCUCACACACACAAGGCCAUUUUCGCGUGAGAGCUUCCCCCCUUCUUAAAAGACUUUCUCAGAAGCAAAAGUGAAGGGAGAAGCAACAAAAAAUUCUGGUCUUCGAUUUCGUUUUCUCUCAUUCUGGUCUUGCCUUACAAGCAAGGGUUGCUUGCGUGCUUGGGGUUUAGCUCAAAGGGUUAUGGAGCCAUGAACGGAUUUGCCAGAGCUUUAAACCCAGUUUCCUCCAGGAUUCUCUGGAGAUCAGAUGGUGAUGAUUGGGGAUGGGUGUUUGGACAAGUUCGAUAUGAAAAAUGCUUCUUGCAACCGACUUUUGCAACCGGUGGAAAAUCGCCACGUCAUUAAAUAAAACGCAGUGUUUUAUUUUAUAUUAUUGUAGGCUGGAGAAGAAAAUAAGAGUAAGUUAGACAAAAGAAAUGAAAGGGAGAAAAAAAAAAAGGAGAAGUAGAACGUCAACUACCUUCUCAUCUAAUGUGGUUUUCAGUACCUCUUUCUCUCUCAGAUCCCAAUCGUCUCUCCCUCUCUUUAGAGUGACCAGCACAGACCCAUCAUGGCCCUAUGGCCAAGUUCAUCACGAACUCUGAAAAUCUCCUUUAAUAUAUGCAAAACUUCUUGUAUUGGUUGAUUUGGGCAUUGACGGGUUGUUUCAACUUUGUUGUCUUUUAAUUUUCAUGGUCUUCUUCCUUUCCUUCGAAAUGGAUUUUGGCAUGGCUUCAACACCACCUUUCUGUCGAAAUGCCCUCACUCAAACAACGUUCUUCUUCCCAGAUGAUUGGAAUGCUUACAGUGUAAAUUAUGGCUUUGGAAUCGCCCCAAAAGAUGUUUGGUGGAAACAAUAUAUGGGAGCGCGCAGCAGAGACUUGGCCUCCUUGAAGUCGAGCUGGUUGCCAAAGCUGACAUAGGCCCCGUACGAGAGCUGGCUCACCUUCAACCGCAAGUUCUUGUACUUCAUUUUUAUUUCUUUUUUUUUUUCUCGCUUCUUUACGAAGAAUUGCUUUGCUUUGCUUGAGUAAGGAAAGUGACUUGUUGUUUAUCUUCCAACUUCUAUUUCUUGUACUUCCAGCCGUUUACAUUGCAGUAGGCAAAGUUCCAUUUUUAUUACUUUUGAGAGUCUUGACUUGA